RNAcentral lists this ribosomal RNA (423 nucleotides) under uncultured bacterium. Its description in RNAcentral is "partial 16S ribosomal RNA". It matches the Rfam family "Bacterial small subunit ribosomal RNA", at positions 361 to 776 of the family's 1533-position model. The record is from RNAcentral.
AUAUUGGACAAUGGGGGGAACCCUGAUCCAGCCAUGCCGCGUGUGUGAAGAAGGUCUUAGGAUUGUAAAGCACUUUAAGUUGGGAAGAAGAGUUGUAGGCUAAUACCUUGCAAUUUUGACGUUACCAACAGAAUAAGCACCGGCUAACUUCGUGCCAGCAGCCGCGGUAAUACGGAGGGUGCAAACGUUAAUCGGAUUUACUGGGCGUAAAGCGCGCGUAGGUGGUUUGUUUAAAUGUAAGUGAAAGCCCCGGGCUUAACCUGGGAAUUGCUUUCAAAAAUGGAGAGCUAGAGGACGGUAGAGGGUAGUGGAAUUUCCUGUGUAGCGGUUAAAAGCGUAGAUAUAGGAAGGAACAUCAGUGGCGAAGGCGACUACCUGGACUGAUACUGACACUGAGGUGCGAAAGCGUGGGGAGCAAACAGG